CAGCCGCCGCGGUAAUUCGGAGGGUGCGAGCGUUAAUCGGAAUUACUGGGCGUAAAGCGCGCGUAGGCGGUUUGCUAAGUCGGAUGUGAAAUCCCCGGGCUCAACCUGGGAAUGGCAUUCGAUACUGGCCGACUAGAGUACGAGAGAGGGAGGUAGAAUUCCACGUGUAGCGGUGAAAUGCGUAGAUAUGUGGAGGAAUACCGGUGGCGAAGGCGGCCUCCUGGCUCGAUACUGACGCUCAGGUGCGAAAGCGUGGGUAGCAAACAGGAUUAGAUACCCUGGUAGUCCACGCCGUAAACGAUGUCUACUAGCCGUUGGGAGACUUGAUUUCUUAGUGGCGCAGCUAACGCAAUAAGUAGACCGCCUGGGGAGUACGGCCGCAAGGUUAAAACUCAAAGGAAUUGACGG
Molecule: ribosomal RNA, 408 nt
Filed under: uncultured bacterium
Lineage: Bacteria
Description: bacterial SSU rRNA
Rfam family: Bacterial small subunit ribosomal RNA
Source: RNAcentral